Procambarus clarkii (red swamp crayfish) is the source of this 759-nucleotide long non-coding RNA. RefSeq lists it as uncharacterized. Lineage: Eukaryota; Metazoa; Arthropoda; Malacostraca; Decapoda; Cambaridae. The record is from RefSeq and is a predicted model, not a curated record.
GAGAGUCGAGAGUGAGGGAGGGAUGGGAUUGCUAACAUAAGUCAGUCACUCUCUGUGUCCGAUAGCGAGCAGAUCUAUCGUGGACGCGCGCUCACAAUAUCUCCCAGAAUUAUCAGUAUUUGUGCUAUUUUUACUGCAAAAUGACGUACAAAACGAAGAUGAAGAAAACUCUGAAAGCUAAAAGCAUGCUAGCUGCCCGUAGAAGGUGCGAGCUGGCUAGAAUCCAUGGAUUACGCACUUUGACGAGUGAAGAUCGUGGAGGCCUCUCAGCCGCGAGUGUGAGGAACCAGCCCGCUACCCCCCCCCACCACAAUCCCACCCUCUGCCACCGCACAUUCUCCACCUUCUACUCCAGGGACUGGUACUUGAAGAAAAAGGACAAGGAUAUGCAGAAACCAACGAGACCCACAACCAAACCAAGAAAGGCCCCUGAGGGAGCUGACCCCGGCUAUGGCGCAGGUGCCUACUAGUGCCACUCCAGUGCCAUCUUCAGGACCCAUAUUUCUGACCAAUUAUAUUAGGCGAUCUGCAUGGAACUUGCACACCUUACUGAACCCAUGCCUAUCUACAAGGGUGCAAAUUUUGAAUGAUAUCGGUCAACAUCAAUCUCAGCUAAAGGUGGCUGAACUUUAACCUCCGUUUGUGCAGGCUGCGAUGCUGAAACUUGGCCCAGUUGCAGCACCUUUCACAUGUAUCAGGAUAAUAAAUUUUCAAUGCCCUACAACAACUUUCAAUUUCCAUCUAGAUGCCCCCUUAAUA